UUUUCUAGUACACUGCGAACGGAGAAAACGAGGUACCUGUGAAAUUUUUACGACAUGAAAAGUAAACAGUUCAAUCCUAUGACUUCAUAGUAUGAAUGGAAAUUAUGCACAAAAAAUGGCGACCACCUCCAAAACCGAGCAGGUUGAAUGGCCAUCUAAAGAAAAAGAAUAGGGAAAUAAAACAUGCGUCAGGGUGAAAUUUUUCUGUUAGCCUUUGGAAUUUUACUGAUUUUACUGGCGUCCAUUUACUUUUUGAGGUGCAAUAAAGAGAAACUCAAGGACUGUUGUACAAUUUAUUGCGAGUGUUUCCUGUCGCUUGGAGACUGUACAUGGUGCAGACAAAGGUUCUCUUCAGUGUUGAGAAGAUCCAGUGGUGAAAUGAGGACUAAUAGACAAGAUGUCAGUACAGUUGGGGAAGAAAAUCCGGGAAUUUAUAACGUUAGCUUUGACCCCCCGUCCUAUGAUUCUGUGAUAUCUGACAACAGAGACCCCGAUUUACCCACUUAUGAAGAGGCAAUAUCUCGUGUUAAUGAUUUACGUAGUGAAAACAAAGCAUGAUUUCAGUGUCUGGGUGUUGUUAUGUGCGUGUUUGUGAGGUUGAGUGCGUGUUUAUGUGAAUUGCAAUAAAUUGUUGAAAUAUGCAUUUUACAUCAUACAAGUUUCAAAGAAGCAUGAAUACAACAUUGCAAUAAGUGAA
Saccostrea cuccullata (small rock oyster) is the source of this 697-nucleotide long non-coding RNA. RefSeq lists it as uncharacterized. The transcript is spliced from 2 exons. The record is from RefSeq and is a predicted model, not a curated record. Lineage: Eukaryota; Metazoa; Mollusca; Bivalvia; Ostreida; Ostreidae.